GAUGAACGCUGGCGGCGUGCCUAAUACAUGCAAGUCGAACGCUUCACUUCGGUGAAGAGUGGCGAACGGGUGAGUAAUACAUAAGUAACCUGGCAUCUACAGGGGGAUAACUGAUGGAAACGUCAGCUAAGACCGCAUAGGUGUAGAGAUCGCAUGAACUCUAUAUGAAAAGUGCUACGGGACUGGUAGAUGAUGGACUUAUGGCGCAUUAGCUGGUUGGUAGGGUAACGGCCUACCAAGGCGACGAUGCGUAGCCGACCUGAGAGGGUGACCGGCCACACUGGGACUGAGACACGGCCCAGACUCCUACGGGAGGCAGCAGUAGGGAAUUUUCGGCAAUGGGGGAAACCCUGACCGAGCAACGCCGCGUGAAGGAAGAAGUAAUUCGUUAUGUAAACUUCUGUCAUAGAGGAAGAACGGUGGAUAUAGGGAAUGAUAUCCAAGUGACGGUACUCUAUAAGAAAGCCACGGCUA
RNAcentral lists this ribosomal RNA (474 nucleotides) under uncultured bacterium. RNAcentral's name for it is "bacterial SSU rRNA". It matches the Rfam family "Bacterial small subunit ribosomal RNA", at positions 28 to 499 of the family's 1533-position model. The record is from RNAcentral.